GGCAGCGCUGCCCUAAUAUGGGCGCGAGCUCCGGGGGGCCGGCGGGGCGGCAGCCGCCCGCGGUCGCAGCCCGGCCGCCCUCUUCCAAACAGUUCCCGGGCCGUGUCAGGCGAGCGGGCCGGGAGCGAGGACGUGGCGUCCCAGCCGCCUCCCGACUGCUGGAGAGCCCGGCUGCCUUGCAUGUGUAUCCUCUGUGCGGUGUGCAAGCUUCCUCUGCUUAGGAUUUGGAGUUUCCUGAAGGCAGGAAGCAUUUCUCCCACAACAGACUGAAGAGCCGCCAUCAUCCACCCCUAAAGGGAUCAGGAAUCUGGGAGUGGCUUGGCUGGGUAGUUCUGGCUCAGCUCUCAUGAAAUUAUGGCCAAAACGUUAGGCAAGGCUGUGGCAUCGGAGGCCAGAUUCGGACCAGAGAAUCCACUUGCAAGGCUGCCUGUUCACGUGGCUGGCAGGUGGGUGCUGGCAGUCGGGGGCAAGCCUUGGGUCCUCUUCAAAAGGACCUCUCCAUGCGGCCCGUGCUUCCUCACAAUGUGGUUGCUGGAUUCCAAAGGCAAACAUCUUGAGACAGAGAGAGCCAGGCAGAAGCGGAAUCCUUUUUUAUGACCUAAGCUUCAGAAGUCACGUGGUAUCACCUCUGCUGUGCUGUAGGUCAGGACAACCCCAAGCCCCCUCUGACUCAGGGGGGAGGCAUCGUAAACCCCACCUCUCAGCAAGAGGACUUCUGGCCACAUUGUAAGAAGAGCUGCUGGGAUGGGAUAAAUGUGUGCGUGUGGCCACCUUUGGAGAAUAGAGUGCCACAACAUCUCUGGCUCUUGGGAGCCUGUGGGCAGCACUCACGGGUGACCAAGUAUUCUCUGACACCUGGAACUCAAACAGCCGUAUCACUGAAGUCCUGAGAUAAAGAGGAAAAUAAAUUCAGAGUCCUAAUUCUUCACCAUUCCCAAUAUCCACGCUGUUUGCACAGUCUUAGAGUGUCUUCCCUACCCUGAAUAUGGCCCCAACCAGAUGACAUGCCUUGACCAACAGGUUAUGGUUUUAAGGCCCGAGUUUGGGGGUGGGCCAUUUAUGAUACAUUUUGAGGCAGUGAAUAACUGACAUAGCCCUCUCCUCAUGCUGCCAUGGAAGGACGUCACGCACUGGGAGCCUGUGUUCUAGUUGGGCUCAGUCCCUCUAAUAGACAGAAUAAUGCCCCAUGUCCGUGUCUUAAUCCCCAGAACCUGUGAAUAUGUUACCCACCAAGGCAAAAGGGACCUUGCAGAUGGGAUUAAAUUAAGGAUCUUGAGGUGGAGACAGUCCCCUGGAUUAUCCACAUGGGCCCAACCUCAUUGCACCGUCCUUUAUGAGGGGGAGGCAGG
Manis javanica (Malayan pangolin) is the source of this 1349-nucleotide long non-coding RNA. RefSeq lists it as uncharacterized. Lineage: Eukaryota; Metazoa; Chordata; Mammalia; Pholidota; Manidae. The record is from RefSeq and is a predicted model, not a curated record.